GGCAUGAGGCAGUGUUACUCCGAACCGCGCACCGGUCGGCCGCCAUGAUAUUCUGAGCGUGCCUUUAUUAACUCCAAACUUUGUGACAAUUGAAAGAAAACUUGUGAAAAAUGAUGUGCCUUAUCAGGAGGUGUGCCUUGGUGUGCACUCUACUCGCAACGGCGCUUGCGCAGAACACAGAGAGCAGCGGCGAUUUCACGCCUGUAGUUAGCGCCACGUGCAAGACUGGUGUCAUGUCAAUCAGGAUCAACUUCAGCCAACCUUUCAAUGGAGUCGCGCAUGCCAGAGAGUUCAGAACCCCAUCAUGCAUGGUGCUUGGGAACGGCACGGAGUCAGUAACAUUCGACGUCAGCCUCACAGCCGCAGCGGGGUCGCCAGACCACUGCGGGGUUUAUUGGAAUCACAAAACCGACGAACGAUCACUGCCUCUGGCGGUCCGCGUGCAUCGAACACUCGAGUUGGCGGAGGACAAGUUCUAUGUCAUCACGUGUGGCAAGGCCGGCAUAAGUAACUCGAGAAACGAAACAUUGACCGUGUCGCUAAGGAUGUUAAACUCAGAUGGACGCAAAGUGCUAAAUGCAGCUUUCGGAAUGCCUUACACACUUCGAGCGGAAUUAAACAAACCUGAUGGCACUCACGGAAUACGAAUGAGAAAUUGCUUCGCUUUCAGUACGCGUAACAAUACCGUAGAUCUCCUGGACAAUCGCGGGUGUCCACUAAAAGAACAGUCAGUAGCGCUGAAAACAGAAGACAAUGCUGCAGAGUUGACGAUUGCUUCAAUGUUUAAAUUCCCGAACUCUUCACAAAUCAACUUCCAAUGUGAAAUUGGAAUUUGUAAAGGUAGCUGUAUGACAACAGACUGCAAAACGGAGGGUAGAAUAGAGCCAGCAGACGAAGAAGGCGCCGUUACCGCUUCUACAGGGCUAUUCGUACUUGAUCCUAAUGACAGUGCUGUUGCAGCAUUAGCCUGCACAGAAGGCGGCGUGCGACCGCUGUGGCUGCUCUACCUGGCGAUCGCUCUUGGAGUCAUGUUCCUCGUAAUGUUGCUCAUCAACUGCUUCCUUUGCACCGCCAUGACCUGUUCUUGUGCGAGGACUGACGUGAUAGAGAAGGACCCAUCUGUGGUGGAAGACUAUGAUCCCUACCGCAGUUGGCAUGGGAGUCAGUACGGCAGCCGAUACCCAUCCUCCACUAUACACUCUGCGAGUUCUGGUUAACCAACUAGGUCAGUGUCGGACAACAGCGACCACUACGCCAUAGUCCAGUCGAGGCCGGGGAGUCGACACUCCGGCAUGCAUCGAAAUAGACACUGAUUCCAGACGGAAUACGAUGUCCCCACUGGCGCUACUUGUGAAUUUUCUACGUCAUCGCAAUAAAAGUGAUAUAAGUUGUAAAUAAUAUACUUAAUAUUUUAACAAGCGUGGUGUUCUAAUAAUUGUAGGUAUGUCUUAGCAACUUUAUGUAAUAGACCAUAUUUUAAAAUUUUAUGUCUAGGUCUCUAAAUAAUCGUAAGGCAAAAACCAUGCCGUAGAUAAAAUGUCACAGAGAAAUGAGGAGAAAAGUACAUAAUUUUGUCAACAUCACAAAAAUUCACGACAAAGGAGAAAUACUUUGAUUUGACUAAAAACAUUGAAUGUAAUGAUCUUUUGAAACACAAAUACUACCAGUUUUAAGUGAUCUCUAGGAUUUUCAUAAUAAGCUCUAUUCAUGAAAAUGAAAUUCUAAAGAUAAUUGGCUCAUAUCUUAUUGUUAUUUCCGAAAGACAUCAUUUCUAGAGCCGAUAUUUUGGCAUACUGUGAACUACUUAACGAAAGAUAAGGAACGAAAAUAAUUCGAAAAAAUAGCAUAAUACAAGAAAACAAAGUUCACGUGCCUAAUAAAAAACACAAUUAACAUCUUAAACAAGAGGUUUUUUAACAUGGAAACCAGUGGCGUAACUAUCAGCUGGCUGGGCUGGCCAAAUGUAAGGACCUUUAGUCCGCUCUGCUGUGAGCUGAAAAGUAAUUUAGUAGGCACCUACCUACUUUUUUUAAUACGUGCCGAUUUCUAAAGCCACCCAUUGAAAUGAAUUCAUUCGUCGCGGGCCUCUGGUGCUACAGUUACACCACUGAUGAGAACAGUGUUCACCUAGAAUAUCAUAUAGAUUUAUUUUUCUAUUCAUCUUAAUGUUAAAAAACUGUGUAAAUCUAGGUAUAGCCUGACUGCACACAGAAAUCAGGGAACAAGAUCUCCCGCGCAUGGAUGGCAAGGAGGAUAAGACAUCGACAGUGUGAGCUUCGAACUCGUAUCUAUCGCUCUCUUUUUAUAGUACUAAGUUAGACAGAGAGAGACAGAGAUGAAUUCAAAACUCGCACAUGCGAGUUAUAUAAAACAUCGUGACUGAAUAGCCCUACAAUACCCCCACCAGAGUCACUUGGGAGAUGAUCAACACCUACCUUGCUUUGUAGUAUUUGUUGCGUCCAAAAUUAAGGUUUUUUUAUAUUUCUAGUCAGGCUAUACUUUCUAUUUUAUAAUAAUUAAACAAAAUAAAAAAGGAUUUUUCGCCCAGAUUUGUAGCUUUAUGUUAGUAAACAUACACCUCAUAACGUGACAGUUUAUUAUAAAACUUGUGCCAUUUAAUUUCCAUAAUUGCAUCGCAUAUUUUAUGUUUUAACGAUUAUAAGCUUAUUGUACCUGCUUAUAUUUGAUUAAGAAUAUUUUUAUUUUAUGUUUCAGUAAAAAUAUUUUUUUUGUCAUAGGUAGGUAAUACCUGAGAAAUACAACGAAUCCGUCCAUUAAAUGUACCUAUAUAAAUUAGUGAUUAUGGUUAGUAAUUAAGUUAUGAACUCCGUAAAAAAUUACCACUUUCUUAAAUAUUCCCAAUAAGUUUGUGAUGUUAUGUAAAUGUAGUUUGUUAUGUCCACAUUUCCACAAAGGUUUCCAAUUAUUAAUUUCCGUAGUACCUAUCCAUACUAAUAUUUUGAAUGCGAAAGAGUCUGUGUGUCUAGCCAUUUCUCUAAACCACAGAACUGAUUUGAUUCCAAUUUAGUAUAGAGAUAAUUGGACCUUGGAACAAAAUCCAUGGUUCUCGCAGAAAUUGUAAACACAUAAUUACACGCGAACGAAGUCGCGGGCUUUCGCUGGGUAUAAAUAAUAUCUACUUAUUGUGUUAUUUACUAAUACAAAUUACAAGGUAAUCUGAAGGCAGCUUUUGUAAUCUAUAUUUGAGUAGCCAAGACAUCGACGUUUUAUAUAUAAAAAAAAUCAAAUAUCUCUUAAAAAGGUUGCGUAGCAACAAACCUUAUGAUUACCGAAUAGAUAAAUUUAUAAAAAAUAAACAUAUGCGUCGCGGAACGUUUGACAGAAGUGAUAACUUAAACCUGCUGACGUGUACGUGAGAGAAAGGGAAGCCAGACAGAACGGCGCCGUUACGUGUUACGUUACGAAACGGUUUACCGUCCCAUAUGAAGUUAUCACUUCAAUAACGGCUGUUACUUCACUUACUUAUGUAAGUACAGAAAAGUUAAAUUAAUAACAUCAACUUUACAUAAUAUCACAUUGCCAGAAGGUGCUUAAAAUUUACAGUUAAAACUUAGGUAAGUACUAUUUUAAGUGCUAACUUUAAUUAAAAAUUUAAAACUCUGAGCACGUGUUUGGCGAGGUUGUUUAGAUGAAAAUUACCUGUAGAUAUUAUAUACCUUUUAUUAUACCUAACGGUAAUAAUUUUAAAUGUAAUUUUAUUUUCAGAAUAAUACAUAAACAUUUAGGUAAACCUACAUUACCUAAAUGCCCAUAAGUAACUUAAAAUAUAAUAGAUACCUUGAUAACAUUAAAUGUAGGUAUUUUUAAUUAUAUCAGUAUUAACUACCUUUUUAAUACUUUACGUUAUAAAAAAAUAGAAAACCUACCUGUAUAAAAUAGUGAUUUAUUGCUUUACGCAAAAAAAAAAGCAUUGCGACAAUAUUUGUUAUUUACCUAAAGCUCAAAUAUAUGUAUUUCUCCCACUGGGUUUUAAAAUUUAACUAACGUUUAAACUAGUUAAUAAGUAGUUUUUAGAUAUCUGAGAAAGCUCGAGUGAUAUAAAUGUAAAAAAAUAAAUUAUAUUGUAACAAA
Molecule: RNA transcript, 4092 nt
Organism: Bicyclus anynana (squinting bush brown)
Lineage: Eukaryota; Metazoa; Arthropoda; Insecta; Lepidoptera; Nymphalidae
Exons: 12
Source: RefSeq, a predicted model, not a curated record